AGCGAACGCUGGCGGCAGGCCUAACACAUGCCAGUCGAACGAACCUUUCGGGGUUAGUGGCGGACGGGUGAGUAACACGUGGGAACGUGCCUUUAGGUUCGGAAUAACUCAGGGAAACUUGUGCUAAUACCGAAUGUGCCCUUCGGGGGAAAGAUUUAUCGCCUUUAGAGCGGCCCGCGUCUGAUUAGCUAGUUGGUUGAGGUAAUGGCUCACCAAGGCGACGAUCAGUAGCUGGUCUGAGAGGAUGAUCAGCCACAUUGGGACUGAGACACGGCCCAGACUCCUACGGGAGGCAGCAGUGGGGAAUCUUGCGCAAUGGGCGAAAGCCUGACGCAGCCAUGCCGCGUGAAUGAUGAAGGUCUUAGGAUUGUAAAAUUCUUUCACCGGGGACGAUAAUGACGGUACCCGGAGAAGAAGCCCCGGCUAACUUCGUG
This 434-nucleotide ribosomal RNA is filed under the name uncultured bacterium. RNAcentral's name for it is "partial 16S ribosomal RNA". It matches the Rfam family "Bacterial small subunit ribosomal RNA", at positions 29 to 507 of the family's 1533-position model. The record is from RNAcentral.